Molecule: ribosomal RNA, 446 nt
Filed under: uncultured bacterium
Lineage: Bacteria
Description: bacterial SSU rRNA
Rfam family: Bacterial small subunit ribosomal RNA
Source: RNAcentral
UUUCUCCUACGGGAGGCAGCAGUGGGGAAUCUUAGACAAUGGGCGCAAGCCUGAUCCAGCCAUGCCGCGUGAGUGAUGAAGGCCUUAGGGUCGUAAAGCUCUUUCGCCAGGGAUGAUAAUGACAGUACCUGGUAAAGAAACCCCGGCUAACUCCGUGCCAGCAGCCGCGGUAAUACGGAGGGGGUUAGCGUUGUUCGGAAUUACUGGGCGUAAAGCGUACGUAGGCGGAUCAGAAAGUAAGGGGUGAAAUCCCAGGGCUCAACCCUGGAACUGCCUCUUAAACUCCUGGUCUUGAGUUCGAGAGAGGUGAGUGGAAUUCCGAGUGUAGAGGUGAAAUUCGUAGAUAUUCGGAGGAACACCAGUGGCGAAGGCGGCUCACUGGCUCGAUACUGACGCUGAGGUGCGAAAGUGUGGGGAGCAAACAGGAUUAGAUACCCUGGUAGUCC